GUGGCCAAUGGGGCGGCCAGGCUUCAGUCCAGGGUGGCCAAUGGGGCGGCCAGGUUUCAGGGCGGCCAGGCUUCGGUCCAGGGUGGCCAAUGGGGCGGGGCCAGGUUUCGGUCCAGGGUGGCCAAUGGGGCGGCCAGGCUUCAGUCCAGGGUGGCCAAUGGGGUGGCCAGGUUUCAGGGCGGCCAGGCUUCGGUCCAGGGUGGCCAAUGGGGCGGCCAGGCUUCGGUCCAGGGUGGCCAAUGGGGUGGGCAGGUUUCAGGGUGGCCAGGGCCACCACUUGCCACCCUCCAGAUCUAUGUACA
Long non-coding RNA from Brienomyrus brachyistius, 302 nucleotides. RefSeq lists it as uncharacterized. The transcript has 3 exons. Lineage: Eukaryota; Metazoa; Chordata; Actinopteri; Osteoglossiformes; Mormyridae. The record is from RefSeq and is a predicted model, not a curated record.